RNAcentral lists this ribosomal RNA (490 nucleotides) under uncultured bacterium. RNAcentral describes it as "partial 16S ribosomal RNA". It matches the Rfam family "Bacterial small subunit ribosomal RNA", at positions 30 to 507 of the family's 1533-position model. The record is from RNAcentral.
AUUGAACGCUGGCGGCAGGCCUAACACAUGCAAAUCGAACGGUAACAGGAAGCAGCUUGCUGCUUCGCUGACGAGUGGCGGACGGGUGAGUAAUGUCUGGGAAACUGCCUGAUGGAGGGGGAUAACUACUGGAAACGGUAGCUAAUACCGCAUAACGUCGCAAGACCAAAGAGGGGGACCUUAGGGCCUCUUGCCAUCGGAUGUGCCCAGAUGGGAUUAGCUAGUAGGUGGGGUAACGGCUCACCUAGGCGACGAUCCCUAGCUGGUCUGAGAGGAUGACCAGCCACACUGGAACUGAGACACGGUCCAGACUCCUACGGGAGGCAGCAGUGGGGAAUAUUGCACAAUGGGCGCAAGCCUGAUGCAGCCAUGCCGCGUGUAUGAAGAAGGCCUUCGGGUUGUAAAGUACUUUCAGCGGGGAGGAAGGGAGUAAAGUUAAUACCUUUGCUCAUUGACGUUACCCGCAGAAGAAGCACCGGCUAACUCCGUG